GACGAGCGCUGGCGGCGUGCCUAAUACAUGCAAGUUGAGCGCUGAAGGUUGGUACUUGUACCAACUGGAUGAGCAGCGAACGGGUGAGUAACGCGUGGGGAAUCUGCCUUUGAGCGGGGGACAACAUUUGGAAACGAAUGCUAAUACCGCAUAAAAACUUUAAACACAAGUUUUAAGUUUGAAAGAUGCAAUUGCAUCACUCAAAGAUGAUCCCGCGUUGUAUUAGCUAGUUGGUGAGGUAAAGGCUCACCAAGGCGAUGAUACAUAGCCGACCUGAGAGGGUGAUCGGCCACAGUGGGACUGAGACACGGCCCAAACUCCUACGGGAGGCAGCAGUAGGGAAUCUUCGGCAAUGGACGAAAGUCUGACCGAGCAACGCCGCGGGAGUGAAGAAGGUUUUCGGAUCGUAAAAAUCUGUUGGUAGAGAAGAACGUUGGUGAGAGUGGAAAGCUCAUCAAGUGACGGUAACUACACAGAAAGAGACGGCUAACUACGUG
Molecule: ribosomal RNA, 497 nt
Filed under: uncultured bacterium
Lineage: Bacteria
Description: partial 16S ribosomal RNA
Rfam family: Bacterial small subunit ribosomal RNA
Source: RNAcentral